UACGUAGGGGGCUAGCGUUGUCCGGAAUCAUUGGGCGUAAAGCGCGCGUAGGCGGCCCGGUAAGUCCGCUGUGAAAGUCAAAGGCUCAACCUUUGAAUGUCAGCGGAUACUGCCGGGCUAGAGUCCGGAAGAGGCGAGUGGAACUCCUGGUGUAGCGGUGGAAUGCGUAGAUAUCAGGAGGAACACCGGUGGCGAAGGCGGCUACCUGGACAGAGUCUGACGCUGAGGCACGAAAGCUAGGGGAGCAAACAGG
This 253-nucleotide ribosomal RNA is filed under the name uncultured bacterium. Its description in RNAcentral is "partial 16S ribosomal RNA". It matches the Rfam family "Bacterial small subunit ribosomal RNA", at positions 524 to 776 of the family's 1533-position model. The record is from RNAcentral.